This is a small nucleolar RNA of Myotis daubentonii (Daubenton's bat), 138 nucleotides long. RefSeq annotates it as small nucleolar RNA SNORA29. The transcript has a single exon. Lineage: Eukaryota; Metazoa; Chordata; Mammalia; Chiroptera; Vespertilionidae. The record is from RefSeq and is a predicted model, not a curated record.
AAUAAGUGAUGAUUAUGUCAGUAAGAAAAAGGAAAGGUCUAGUGGCUAUGCUUAUGGGAUAGAUUAAAAUUGCCAUGAUCUGAAGAGGGAGGAUUUAUUUUUGUCCUCUUCCUAUAUGAAAUGGCUGAACAGAAAAAA